Molecule: RNA transcript, 16732 nt
Organism: Venturia canescens
Lineage: Eukaryota; Metazoa; Arthropoda; Insecta; Hymenoptera; Ichneumonidae
Gene: Rim
Gene name: Rab3 interacting molecule
Exons: 25
Source: RefSeq, a predicted model, not a curated record
GAAAAUAAUGAGUAUAAAAAAAGAAUCAGCUGUGAAAAUGCUCGUUGGUUGAAAUCCGGAGGAAUAAUUGGCGGAGAAUAGAGCGGUAGACGGCGCUAGUGAGGGGUGCGGCGGUGAUAACGCAAACUACCCCAGCCGGGUCGAGACAGCGAAACGCGCCCGCGCGUUUUAGACAUUCUAAGUGGGAGAGCGAGAGAAAGAGAGAGAAAAAACGUCAGACGGUGUGUUAUCGCGGCUCGGAUAGUGAAAGAAAACGAAUCACCGAAGCAGUCACGCCAGUUAUGGUGAAAGAGAAACAGAACGAGAGCGAGGCUUGAAGUGUCGUGUGUGACAAAACUAUAUGGUAUACGUAUGCUUUGAAGCGGAGAAAAAAAAACAAGAAUAAGGGAAAGAGUGGCUAAAGCCAAACGGUUUUUUUCGAACACUUUGUUCGACUCGUGAUAUACAAAGUCGAAGGGGACAGAGAAGACACGAAAAGUCGUACCAACCGUUCGGACAUCGGAGAAAGGAUAUACUACUGGGGAUUUUAUGGGUGUGGAGUGAAAAAACCGUUGUUGAAAGAAUACAAGAAAAAAUAUGAAUUACUCGCCGACAUGUUUGUCGUGAUCUCAAACAAGCUCGUAUCCCAUCGAGCACAAUAGACUCAGAUAAUUGUGUGUGGGAGCAAGUGCGCGCGUGUAUAUACGUACGAGCUGCAACAAUUUUCGCGCGAGCGUGAACUCUGCAGUAAAAUUCUAUCAGUGCGGGGAGAUAUUGAAACCGAUGACCGUUUAAUCGGGAUCGUAGUGGUGAACAAAAACCGAAAGUGCUUUUCUCUCAUUUAUUUUUCUACCUAGGGAAAAGUAAUGAUCACUCGGUGGUAAAAAUCCGUCGGGUACUCGAUUCGUAACGCCGUUGAACUCGUCCGUCUGCGGCUGCAACCGUUUUCUCCGUGUUUCGUGUGUUUUCUCACCAGGGGCCGUGACAAACGCCAUUGCGUACUCCACCGAGCUUUUUUCCUGUCGCUUUCCCCCGCCGUCUCCCAACGCAUUUUCGUGUGCUCUUCGAGCGCGAUUAUCGAAAAGUAACGUAAUUGUCGCAACGCUCGGAGCUGGUAUUUUUAUUUCACGACCGGGCCAUAUAACUGGGUAAUGAUUUUUUUUUUCACUCAACGUUCAUCGACGUGCGGUUAACGAAGGAUAUACGAGAGUUCGUGCGUAAGUGCAGUGUGUCCGUAAAUGUGUGCGAGUGACGAGAUGCAUCAAAUUUACGAAGCACCACGGAAAUAAAUUGACCGUCGGAGCGAGGGAGGAGAGCGAGAGAGAGAGAGAGAAAGAGAAAAAAGUCUGUCUUUCGAGAGUCGACGAUAUUUUGCCACAUCUUUCAAGUGACACACAAAGAAGUUACAAGUGCUGGGGGGAAAUUAUGAUUGUGCGAAGAUACAAAGAGGCAGCUAAAUUGUGAAAUUUUAUUGUAACAACGCGAAUGAGCAUCGAAUACGUGCUCCGUCAAUUUUUUUACACCGUUUUGAAUCCUAAUUGUUGAAGCAGUUAGAGUUUCGCUGUGAACUUGAAGAAGCUGAAUGUACGCAGAGGAGAUUCGUUGAGCAGACGCCACGAAUCUCAAGAAAUUUGUCGAAUUCGUGAAAACUAGACGAACGAGAACAGUGCAAACACUCGUUUCUUUUCUUCCGUCUCUCACUUUUCUCUCUCUCUCUCUCUCCCCCCCCUCUCUCGCUCGCUCUUUCUCUGUCUUUGGUUAAUGUCGGAGGGUUUAUCUCGGCCACCUGUGGGGUAAAUCGGUCCUGGUGAAAUUCGCCCCUCGAAGGAGAGAGAGAGAGAGAGAGAGAGAGAGAGAGCGAAAAGGCACAAAGGGUGCGCUCGCGGGUUUCUCCCGAUCCCCGAGCUCUCUCCAGGAGUAUUGGCCGGGAGAGCGAGCGAGAAAAUAUCGAAGCAAUCCCAUGGGUCACGAUAGAGGGAGUCCUGAGAAAAAAAUAAGCUGGGUGGAGGCUCUGCGACGAGGAAAAGAAAGAGAAGGAAUAAGUUUUCUCUGGCGCGAGCUGUCGCGAAGAAAAUAAAAAUACGCGAGCGCGAGUCCCUUCGGAGAAUAAAAAAAGUGUUAAAACCACGGGAAACCGAAGCAGCCAAUUCUUUUGUUUAAUUUCACAAGGGAUACCAAGAACUCGAGAAUAUUCGCGGAAGACCCUCGACGGUCUCGACCAGCAGCGAGGAGGUAGCCUGAGAAAUAGCAACAUUACGAAGGAUUCGACGAAAAUUUGAAGCGCCGAAGAAUGCGAGAGCCCCCUCCCCACGACCCGUGAUCAUGAUUCUCCGUACGGAUGUGACGAGCGAUAUACGUAAGCCGAGAAAAAGCUACGGUGAGGCCGCUGCCGCUCGCCCUACGGAGAAACGAAAGCCCCUCAGCGCCGAUGCGAACCUCGACCGGUCACGAGGUCUCAAAUCUAACCUAAAAAAUAACAGAAACAAGUCGAACAAAGACGCCUUCGCGCUGUCGAAGGAUAAUACGAGAAGUGAGAAUAACAAAGUGAGAAAAGAGGAGGAGGAGGCGGAGGACGACGAGGACGACGAGGACGACGAGGACGAGGAGGAGGAGGACGAGGACGGCGAGGGGAGAGCGAUUGCAAGCAGAAAAAUAGUAGAAAAUUGGAAAAAAUCCUACAUUUUCUCGUAUUACCAUUCUUUCCUGAAAAGUCACAAAAGCGCCAAUAGCCAUCGAUCUUUCGCGACGAAAUACCGAUCUUCGGACUCCCAUUCUCGCGUAAUUAUCGAACGAGACAAGAGAGGCUCGAAGCUCCCUGAGCUCGCUCGAGGGUCACGCGCUCGCUCGAUCUUUUUUAAUCGGCAGAUCGAGGAAGCGUCCACGCUCGAAGCGGGCGGAUGACUCGCUCAGGACCAGGACGUCCCGUAGUCGUAGACGUUCCAGUAGCCUUUCCUGGGCCCGUUCUCAACGAAUACCGCCGCUCUUCUACGUCCAACCGACGCUUUUUCUCCCUCCUCUUCUCACUCUUAUUAUUAUUAUUAUUAUUAUUAUUAUUACUACUCUCAUUACUAUCGUCGUUAUCCUCCUCACAAACUUCCCUUCGAGAGGAUCCAAUAAUCCCCAGGCAAUUGCUCGUCGCUCCUUCCCGACGCUACCCCAGACCUCCUCGAUCCACAGUUUUUUAUCCCACUCGUCGCUCCUUCGAUAACUUCGGAUUUAUCGAUAGCCUCGGUAGCGUCCUCCUCGGAAUCGGCUCACCGUGAUGGCGGACCUACCCGACAUGUCGCAUCUCACUCCCGAGGAGCGACGCAUCAUCGAGGGUGUUAUGAUGCGACAAAAACAGGAGGAACAACGCGAAAAUGAGAUCAUGAGACGAAAGCAGGACGAGGUCCAAGUGCUCGAGGAAACGAUACGUGCACGCUCGGAGCAACACAAAAAGUCGGGAAUAGAGCUCGACGCCACGUGUCAGAUAUGCUCAAAGACCAAAUUUGCGGAUGGCGUCGGUCACAUCUGUAACUACUGUAACAUACGAUGCUGCGCCCGGUGCGGUGGAAAGGUUACUCUCCGAUCCAACAAGGUGAUAUGGGUGUGCAUCGUCUGUCGGAAGAAACAAGAGAUUUUUCUAAAGACCGGACAAUGGAUGAACAAAUCGGGACUCAACGCCGCGGACACUGCUAUGCUCAGAAGAAUGCAGGAGGACAUGCAAGGACCCGGUAUUCCAGGACAUCCAGAACUGACGCAGGAUAAAAGGCCAAAAUUGGAGAGAGCUCACAGUGCUGCCGAGAAAGAAAAUUUGCCACUGGUACAGAGGGGCGCUUGUACCCUGAUAAGGCAGUACUCCCAACAGGACCAGGUGUCCGGACGCCGUAUGUCGACCAGCGACAGCGGGGUGGAGAUGUCAGUGUCGCCUCACUCGAGGAGCUUGCCGACUCCACACGUCGUCGUUGGUUCUUAUCCUCAGACACCGAGACAUCCGGCUGCCUAUCCUGAAGACGAUCCGAGCCUCUAUCGGGGCGAACUCGAUAACCUCAUGCGACAACACGCUCAGACUUACCAGAGGCCCGUGUACCAAGAUUCCGAUAUACCGAUGACCUACGGUCAUGCGGGAGUGGAGAACGUUCCUCGAGCGAUGCACGGAUCGCAGCAGCAGCAGCAGCAGCACUCGAUACACGGCGGGGGACAAGUCGGACAUCCCUCGCAGAGUUUGGGUCCACCGGGCAGCGGAGGAGGGGGAGGACAGAAUGUUCUCCAUCAGCAGCGAAGUUUCAGCAGUAGCGAGGAGGAGAGAAGUACACCGGAUUGCGCGAGUGACGAGCCCGAUGAAUCCGAGAAGGGAAAGGGGUACUUCCAUCACGGCGGUGGACCUGCUUCGAUGUCCGGUGGUUCUCGUAGACACGGUUCUCACAACGGUCAUCACGUCACCGGGGCUAUGACCAUCGAGUAUAACGGUCACCAUCCACCCCGAGAACCUCGAAAAGAAGAGAGUACUCUCGUACGAAGGAGCUUCAGAAGAAGCGGCGACGAGUGGCGAGCCGACAGCCGGAGGUUCACUGAACGAAGGGGGAAAAAAACGGUCAGAUUCGACGGUGGGACGAAUGUCGGUGGUAAUGAUGGCGGUAGCCACGAGGAUUGGUCCUGGGAGGCGGAUCGCCAGGGUAGUCAAGACAGCGCGACCAAAGAUUCCGGUAUAGACACCUCAAGCACAUUCACCAGCAGCGAAGACAGCAAUCGUGGCGACCUGCCCAAGCAACCACUUUCGUGGCAAGGAAGCAGUGACGGCCAAAAAAUCAUCGGUCACAUGAUCCUCAGAAAAUCCUCUGGUUCAGGGAGCAGCAGUAGUAUUCUCGGACUGAAGGUCGUCGGUGGAAAAUUAUUGGAGAACGGCUCGAGGGGGGCGCUCAUCGAGAAAGUUAAGAAAGGCAGCACAGCGGACGUCGAGGGUCAAUUGAGACCUGGUGACGAGGUUUUACAGUGGAACGGUCGAUCUCUUCAGGGAAAGAGUUUUCAGGAGGUGAACGACAUAAUAAUGAAAUCGAGAGAAGAGCCGCAGGUCGAAUUGAUAGUGUCGAGAAAUUUGUCGGGGACAUCGACGGCAGCGAUGUUGACCGGUGUACAGACGACCGUGCCAGCCUCGGCGAUAGGUACCCCGAGGCGAAUCACAGUUCAGACUCAAUGGCGUCAGAAACACGAACCGAUGCCGAUACCUCAGCAGCCACAUCACAAAGAUUAUAUGAUUUUUCGAAUUCCAGGUCUUAAGAAAUGUAUACUGUGGGAGUUGUACGACGCCAAAAGGGACAAACCUUCCGUACUUGUGACGUCACCGGGCUCGCCGGAUCUUCACGCCCAGGGGAGAGGACGACAUCUACGAAAUCCACCGAGUAACGCGAACGUGGGUGGCACACUACAGGUGAAACUCGGUUUCGAUCCGGUGGCACUGCAGCUCAUCGUAAUACUCGUAUGCGCGGCCGCGCUCACACCCAGAAGCAACGGACAGCCCAGAAAUCCAUACGCCAAGAUAUUUCUACUGCCGGACAAGAGCGAAAAAUCGAAGAGACGGACGAAGACCUUGGCAAAUACGAACGAUCCAAAGUGGAACCAGUCCUUUAUUUACAAUAUGAGGCGUUCCGAGCUCAGGCACAGAUCUGUGGAAAUAACCGUCUGGGAUCUGGUCAAAUAUGGGGCGAAUGAUUUUCUUGGCGAAGUUAUAAUCGACCUUGCCACAUCGUCGUUAAACGAAAAACCAGAGUGGCAUUAUUUGUUGGCACACGAGGAACAGCGACAUGCUGGGUAUUAUACGGAUCCAAUCGACGAUAUAGUGAUAACACCAGUGGACUGUCAUUUGAGUCCACCUUCGACGACCUCGAGGUUGAGUGACUCGGACACGUCCGAAUGUGAUAUAACCGACUGCGACGUAUCCAGGGAACAAAGAAGAACGGCCGAUGGGGCGAGUCUGAGCAGCAGGGGUAGUUCGUCCAGGUUUCAUAAUAUGCCGUCAAAUUAUAAGCGCCACUAUUCCAGUCCGCCGCCCGAAAGAGAUUUGUGCAUGGACAACGAGCACAGAAGUCGAAGGGACAUGUCGCCGCAGGGACGAAAAAGGGCGGCGCUCAUGAUUACUCGCGAUCAGCCGGUCUCCAUUGCCGGCUAUCAAUCGUACAGGAAGGAGGACUCACCGAGAGGAAUGAUGGGUCACAGAUCGCACAGUGCAGCGCCAAUGGACUCGCCGAAUAUUCGUUACCGCGGAAGAUCGCAGAGCCCAACGGGUCAUCGUUCGCUCUCACCUCCGGAGCACAGAUCCAUCCCUUAUCCUCAUGGCUAUAUGCCACCAAGAUUCGGCUCGAGAUCGGCGACCGCGACGCCAACCGGCUCACCGAAGAAACGACAACUGCCCCAAAUACCGGCCAAUUUACACGCCGCCCUCAAAGAGCGGGUCACUCAGGAUCUCGAGGAGAGAGCGAGGUUCAUGAGGCACCGAAAUCGGCAGGUUCACACGACUUACAGGAGCACCGGGAUGGGAGGCUGGGAGAGACACUACAGCGGCCUUUCGGACUCCGAUCUCCCCUCUAUGGGCCAAGACCCUUUGUCGCUCUCGCACACCACCUACGUUCACCGGAUGCACAGAUCGAGAAGGGGUCACCUCAGUCCGGACAAGGACGUUCUCGGUGAUCUCGGUGAUUCGGACAUGGAGAGCAACGCCUCUGUGACGAGUAGCGUUUUCAGUACCCAAUCCGAAAGACCACGAGGAUCCAGAGCCUUAAUACCGACAGUUAAAAACGUAUUGAUACCCGGUGUCAUAUCCCCAAUGCCCCCACCCCCUAGGCGCAAUAGGCGCAGGCACAGAAUUAGGGUACCCUGCAGCGAAUGUCAUUGUCCAACAUCAGCAAAGAGCAACAACAACAAGAGCAGCAGCAGCAGCAUCAUUAUUAAUUCCACAAAGUCCCGAAGCAACCAAACCGUUAAGCACAAUCCUACCCAUCACCCAUUAGUACGGAGCAAGUCCGCAGUCGUACGCUCGCUGUAUAGAAAGAUGAGAACGCCGUUCACGAGGUCGCAGACCGUCGACGAGAACCUCCUGCGUUACUACAGUCCCGAAACGAGCGAGUACACCGUAUCCGAGGGUUACAUCCUCAAGCCCGAGAAACUCGUUGGGAAGACGAAAAAUCGUCGUAUACCCGAGAUCUACGUGGAGGAUUGCCUCCAGGUCAAUUUCGCUGACGGACUGUUGGACAAAUUUCGCAAUUCGAGCGCCGGCCGUUCGAAUCACGCUGCUCUUCCUGCCCCCUUCUACAACGCGUACGAGACGAUGAGAAAGAGCACCAAUAGGAGCGCCGCCCCCACGACCGCUUCCUUGUCGCGGCGUUUGCCAUCCGGAUGGAAAGAACCUUUGGAAAAUUCCAUCGUCUCGAGAUCGAAGCCGUUUGGAACGGUGAACCCCUCCUCCCUCACCACCUAUCCGGCGGAUUACGAGCUCAAAAAUCUCAUCACCCGAUCGUCCACGAUCCCGAGACGCUCGCUCCUCAGCUCGAAAGCUCGGAGCUUCGAUUACAGCGUCAUCAGCAACGACGAUCCUGCCUUCUCGAGCGGGAGUCUUCGCGGCGACGCCGCACCGGGCUCCUUUCUCUCUCGACGCGCCAAGAGCUUCGAGUACGAAACCGUUUCCAGCAACAUUUUCAGUGACGACAGUCUGCGAACCGCCAGACGUAAAUUCAAACAAAACUUGUCCAUCAGCGACUCCAAGUACGGAGACAAAAUACCUGCUCUACGGGAUCGUAGCAAAUCUUAUUACGACUCCAACGGGGACAACGAAUUGCGAAAAACUCUCGCUGCCAAUGCCCUCGUCAGGUACACCGAUUUCGAGGAUCCUCAGGCCCAAGAAAAAUUCUACAGCUCUCACCUCGACUCGCACCUCGGCCCCGCUCGGAUGGACUACUUCGAUUCCUUGGACACUCGGGUUCCUCCUCUCGCUCACGAACGUCCGAGCUCCGUUCUCGCUCGCGAGGACAUCGGCAAAAGAAAGUACGUCGAUUCGUCCUACCGCUCGCCGGACAAACGAACGAAAAGCUUGGAGAACGAAGUCUACGGAAACCGGGAGAUAAACGACCACGUUUAUUGCAGCAUCGACGAAAUCAUUCUCCCGGAAGAUCCCUGCCCGUGCAGACUCGUAUCUUCCAGCAGAUCUACCACCCUCGAUCUUCUCGAUCGAAACGAUUACGCAGCUAGACGUCACGUCAAACCUCGUAGAAGAGCCAAAAGCACCGAUUCUUAUCUCGAAGACGAAUACGAGAAUUGGGAGUUGGCUCCCGGCUACGAAUUCGAAUAUCCGCCGUUGGACGACUCGAGAAUUCCAAUUUUAGACGUCGAGGGCUACUACGAGGAGGAGAAGAGCCUUAAAAAACCGAGAAGCUCAAGGAUCCAGGGUGAAAUAUUGCGGGAUCGAAUAAUCGACGGUUACGAUUCGUACAACGAGCCUGUACAAUUUUACGCGGACGAGUCGUUGAGUUAUCGGGACGACCAGGAAGACGUGAUCGGUAGCGAGAGUUACGAGGACUCGUCGCAGGCAGCGCGCCGAAGAAGACGACGAAGGUUUCGGGAUAAUGUAAUCGUCGACGAGGCGACCGAGGCCGACAUCGAGUACGAAAAUUUUCCGAUAAAUCAUAAAAACACUCUGACGGUACCGAGCUUAUCGCAGAGCAAGAAAAUGAUGAUCGGCCGAGCCGAGUCAACGCCGAUACUCCCCCACGACGAGGAUUACGCUCUCGCCGAAGAAAGAAUGACGAGACGAAUGUCGAGAAGGAGAAGAAACAGUAGUUGCCCGGAGAGUCGUGAGCUCGUGGUCAACGGGAGCUGCAACUCCACCGAGGUUAGGGCCGAAGAAGAACCUUGCGGUUUUUUCAUCGAUUCGGACGAGGAAUUUGGCUCGAUGGAGACGGUCAUAGGGCCGAAUUACGGAGACUCGACCGCUCGCAAAGAAACUCGGAUCUCCAGCGAUUCCCGUCCCCGGUACGAGGAGGCCGUUGAGAAUGCGACACGCGAGGAGGUGCCCGUGGAAAGCUAUCGAGCCAUGAGAAGCGAGAGAUCGGAAUCAUUUUCCGGCACGACGAGGCGCUACCGGGAAGAGGAUGACGACGACGAUUUUUCCUCGGGCUAUCAGUACCGUAGACGAAAAAGUAGUUGUCCCGAGUGCCGGGAAUUGGCGAAUUUAAGCCUCGACGCUAAAUCAAGUAUUCUCUCUUCUUCGAGACGCGAUCAAGAUUACCCCGAGGAUGCUUACAAGUAUCGUAGACGAAGGAGAAGAAGAAACAGCAGUUGUCCCGAAGCUCGGGAGAUGGAACUGUACGAGGAAGAAAGAAGACCCGCCAAUAACAUAAAUCAGCAGCAGCAGCAGCAGCAGCAACCGCCGCAGCAACAACAGGGUAGUAAAAGAAACGUGGCUAUAAGCGACACCCUCGAGUAUUACGAAUACUCGAUGGAGAGCGAGAGCCAGUGUAGCGAAAACUGCGGAUUUGGCCCGUACGAUUCCCUUAGGCCCCGUAACCGAGCAGCACCCCGCCCCGGUAACGCUAAUUCAAAUAUCUUUGAUUCCCAAAAAACCGCUACCUCCGACACUGCUAAAAACCCACGGGCCACCGACGACGACCAUCAUCAUGCUCAUCAUCAUCGCGACCACCAACGAUAUCGUCACGAAAAUCAACGGGAUUAUACGAAACAACGUAACGACGCGUACGACCGAUACAACGACAACGACCGCGACCGCAACCACAACGACGAAAAUCCUUCGUCCGCUUCAACGAAAAACGUUGACGAAACGGAUAACAAACGCGACGUCGAUCAACCGCAACGCCGCUCGUCGCAACGGAAAAAAAUCAACGAUAACGAUGACCAAACUAAUAUACGGGACACUGCGAAACACAACGACCUUAACGAACGACGAUCAUCCUCGAUGCCGGAAAGCAGUGAGUACGCCAGUCAGGGAAGCUCUUAUGAGAAAAACUCGAGACACAUCCCCGCUGGAAAUGGUCACAAUGGUCACACCAAGAGGGGACAGUUUACCAGGAGUUUGAGCAACGCCGAUGUUCCGCCUGACGAAAAAGUUGAUGGGAGUCUCAGUGACACCGCCGUUGGUUUACACCCGGAGGACAACGCACGGAGGGGUCGUAAGAGUUCACCGAGCAGUAAAAGCGGAAGCGGUAGUAGUAGCGGCGGCGGAAGUGCGUCGCAAUACCAAACGGGCCUUGGGAAGAAGAGCAACAGCACGAGCCAACUAUCAGCGACAGAAUGCGGAGUGACCGGAAGCGGUGGCGUUAUGGCGGAAUCUCGCGGCCCUUCCGGUUUAUCGUCCAGAAAGCGUAACAGCACGCCGAGCAGUUUUCAACGCUCCCAGGAGGUUGUACCGACGUAUCAGCGGCUCGGUACGGGCAAACAGAACACGAGCGGUGCCUCCAUCUCCAACGACACCGCCGGAAGUCUCAACUCGAUCUCGAGUUCCGAAGCAAGCUCUUGGUCGCCAAGCCGAAGAAUGGCCGGGGAGGGCGGUCAGUUGAGCGAGUUCAUCGACGGCCUUGGACCUGGCCAAUUGGUCGGACGACAAGUUCUCGGGGCUUCGUCCCUCGGCGACGUUCAACUUGCCCUCAAACAUACCAAAGGAUACCUCGAAGUCGAGGUCGUACGGGCUCGAGAUCUUCAGGCUAAACAGGGCAGCAAAAUUUUACCAGCACCCUACGUCAAAGUAUACUUGGUCAACGGAAAAAAGUGUAUAGAAAAAGCGAAAACGACCACAGCCAGACAAACGCUCGAUCCUUUUUAUCAACAACCAUUGGAGUUCAGGCAAAACUUUCAAGGCUGCAUUCUACAGGUCACAGUCUGGGGUGACUACGGUCGCUUGGAGGGGAAAAAAGUAUUCAUGGGAGUCGCGCAGAUAAUGCUGGACGAUCUUAAUCUGAAUGAGAUGGUGUUCGGGUGGUACAAGCUCUUUGGCACGACGUCCCUGGUCAGUGGUCCUCCUUCCCUCGUCUUAUCACGACGUUCCUCAGCCGCUUCCCUAGAUUCCCUCAAACUUUAAUUCAUCUCAAAGAAAUAAUCGGAAUACAAAAGAAACGAACGUGAUCGAGAUUGAAUUUGAAAACAAUCAGCUCUUAUCGUACCAAUCGAAUAUCGGCAUUGAGCUCAAUCGUUCGAGGCUUCGAUCGUGAGCCCGUGCGCGCACUAAAAUCAUCACCAUUUUCGCACUGGCGACACACCAAGUUCGUCUAUUCAACGACAGACACUGAAAAUGAGAGAAGAACAAACAUAAAUCUACGGCUCUGAAUACGGUUUCUAGAGAGAAGAUAAUAUUUUUAUGUUCGCUGAACGCGUGUGAUAAAGAUUGUGGCUUAUUGAUCGUUCGCCAACUCUGUUGAUUCAUAUGUUCCUUUAGAGAGAUGACGAUCGAAACAGAACGAAAGAAAAAUCAACGUGAAAUAAACAAUAAUUAAUAAUGGUUAAUACGAAGCUAUGUUGUUGCCAGCAGAGCGUCUAUGGUUUUCAGCACAUUUUCAAAUACCUUAAAAACACACACAACGUUCACAACGUUUUCUAUUGAAUAAAGGUAUUCCGCGAAACCGAUGAAGAUAGUAUAUUAAUAAUGCGAAAAAACAUGUUGAAAACCGUAUUCGGUCAUUUCCACGGUGAAGGGUCUUAGGACCAUAGGAAUUUGACUAGCACAUCACAUAUCAUGUACGGAAAUGAGAUCGAGCUACUAGUCCGUUAUGUAGACUAGCUGUAGACGUAGCGGCCAUGUUUCCGGAGCGCCACAUAGCUUUAGUGAAACCAAAGGAGUUCGAGUGAACCGCAGGCCGACAUAAACUCGAACGUGGUGGUGUGUUGGGACAACGGAGUGUGAAUCGCCGCAGGAAACAAACGAGAAGAAGACGAAUGCAACGUAAAGAGACAUUACAAUGGCGUUUUUUGGUGGAUUUUGAACAGUGCGAUCGAUGAGAGCGCGAUAUCGAAGGAGAAAGAGCGAGAGAGAGAGAGAGAGAGAGAGAGUUUCGUUGACGAAACGAUGAAAUUAAUUUUCGAUAAAUCGGUCCAAGUGGGAUUUGAUGAAAAGACUUGAAUAAUAAAAAAUAAAAAUACGUGACAGACUCGACUAAAAUAUUAGGAAUGUAAUGAUAAGCGUCGGUGAAGAAAAAAAAAUCACGACACGAACUAUAAAUAUAUACAUAUAUACAUAAACAUAGAUAUAAAAAUAUGAUGAGACGUUACUAUAUUUGUAUAUAUUAUUGGACACGCCGUGCAAGGGUUUUUAAAAUCUAUAGAACUCGUUUAUUAUAACUGCUGAAAUUGUCAGAAAUAAGAUUUAAAAACGUAAAGAAAAGAAGAAAAAAACACUGAAAUAAUAGCAGGGAAAGUUCGAGACAGUUUUUUUUCUCGUGGAGCGAGAUUUUUGUCGCGUCAUCGAACAUCGUUCACCUCAUCGAUUUAAAUAACGAAAAAAGGGAAUAAGAAAAAAAAUAUUUACGUUGAUCGGUUGAUGUAUAAUCGUCGAAUGCGUGUAUACCUGCUGUAAAUAAUUGUAUAACCUAAGUCGAUUGGGUAUGCGCGCACAACGAGUUUGAAUACGUGACUGACGACGAGAAAAAGGGAGAGGAAUACCGAUCGAACGCCCUUUACGUUCCGUGUCUUAUACCACGACAUGAAAAACAAACAAAACAUUAGCUUUCUUAUUUUAUUUAUUCAUUUAUUAAUCCACUAGCUUUCAUCGCGAUCCGAGCCACGAACCGCCAAAUCUUUUUUCACUUUGUCAAAUCUCUACACAGCUAAACAUCAUUUUUUGCAAUACAGUUUAUUUUUCAUAAAAAAAAAUAAAAUUAUCUGAACACGCUUUGAUUUGUUCUAGCUUCAAACUCAUUUCUACUCAUCGAAUAAAUCUUCAAUUCGAGACACAUUAUUUUCUCGUUUGCUGCAAAAUUUCCAGGUGUCACGGAUGCUCCUCGAUCGUUUCGAUCAAUAAAAUCGUUAAGUUUUGACUUUUUUUUAAAUCCAUUUUGCGAGGUAUACUUGACAGUUACGAAGAAGCAAAAGGAGCAAUGCUUGAGCGUAAAUAUUGUUUGUGUAUAGCUGUUGGUUGUCAUCAUGUUGAAAUAUCGUUCAGGUUUUGUGUUCAGCACUUAUUGUAAGACGAAAAAAAACGUACACUAUCCUACGAGACACACUGACACGAAGUUAAAUCCACGCGUAUCCUUCCGUAUAAUUAAUAACUUGACGUUGAAUUUAUUGAAUUCAUGAAAAUCGUAGGACGACGGAUGAAACCCUGUGAAAUACAGAAAUGAGUGGAAAAAAGACUGGUCGGAAAAUGAUUUCAUAGACGGAUGGGCUCGAAUUCCUAUGUGCAUUGCACUCGAAUCAUCAUUUUAUCUCGUCACAAGCAAAAAAAAUCGUUUUAUCGUUUUUUUCCUCCUUUCUACCGAAUGAAAAAUGUAAAUUGAUCCGCUCGUGAAUUAACUUCAUUUUGACGAAUAAGAUGCAGCGGCAAAUUCAUGAGAAUAACGUCGCGGGGAGGGACGUUGUGAAAUUUAGAUUCGAGUUCGAUCGUGAUCGGGGCGAAAAUACAAAUGAACACGCUUUUACGGGGCUAAAGACAACGAGAGUUACGAAUAAAUUGGGCGAUAUUUCCACGACAGUGACCUUGAAGUACGAAGGACAAAGAAGUUUUUUUUCGGCGUGCGUGAGAGGUUAUGAACACGUGACACAUGGGCGAAUAAAUAUCUCGUGCAACUGCAUUUUAUCAGAGGAUCAAUGUUGGCGAACCGAAGGCAAACACUUUUUCGCGAUAAACAGGGAGGGGGGGGGGAGGGGCGAAGGUAAGAUCUUAUCAUAUCUUGAUAAUGGCUUAAAUUAGAAAAAUCGAACAAACCAAAAGAGCGACGAGAAAGCGACAAAAAAAAAACAAAUAAACGUUUAAAAUAUGAAAAAAAGUAAUUAAAAAAAAAAAAAAAUAAAAACACACAAAGGAGGAUUUUUUACUCGUGAAAAUAAUGAUCGUAGCGUCUUAACGAGAUAACAAAACAGAAACAUGUAAGUAUUGUGAAAAUUACUAUAAGGUGAUUUCUAAGUAAAUUUUGCAAGUGUACGGAGUUUAGUCACAGGGGGUCAAAUACGAAGAAUAAGACGAAGAUAAAAAAUAAACAUCAUACACGAAAAGAAAAACGUAACAAAAAUAAUAAACACACGAAAUACUGUAAUAGCGAACGAAAAGGGAUUAAAAGAAAAACAAAUAUAUAAAAGACUAAUAAUAUGUAACACACGUUCAGUUUGCAAUUCGCCAAUUGACGCGUCGCCUGUUCUUUGGAAAAUUUCUCCGCCUCAUGAGCGAUGGAAUAAAAAAAAUUUGAUCAAUUCUCUAUGACGAGCAUCGCCCGGUUCAGAGACGAGAGAAAAUGUUCCGGAGGAUUCGGCAUCUCGCUGUGGUAUAACGCUUAAAACCAUUAAAAAAAAAAAAAAAAAAAAAAACAAAAAAAAUUGCAUAUCCUAUUCAAACUUAGUACUUUGAUAAACACGGAAGAAUACAAAAGAAGAACGAUACGGUUGAGAAAUAAAAAGGACUGGCUCGUUGUCGUUUAUUUUUCAUUUUCUUGUUAAUCAACAUCGGCAUACCAAUUAUAUUACACCGUCAGAGUGAUAAAAGAAAAAAUGAAGGCACACCAAGAACGAAGAUAUAAAUAAUGAGAAACGUUGUUCGAAAAAAUUCAAUAACUAUAUACUGAUACCUUUUGAAAUGGAUGCGGAUGAGCAUGAUUCUCAUGAAUGAAUAAACAAAAGAAAUAUAUUUAAAAUACGUAUAUCAUACCGAGCACACAUUUAUUUCAGUAAAAAAAAAAGACAAAUAUUUAAAUUCUAAUAUUCGACAUCCGCAUUGAAAAAAAAAACGCCUCUUGUAAUGUACAUUUAAAGGGGAAAGAGACAAAGAAAAAACAUCCCACCAACGUCAUUAAUAUUAGGAUUCUACAAAAAAUUCAAGCUCAACUAUUUAUUUUGCAGUGUUUUGAACGUUUUUUCAAUUAAGUAUUUAUAAAUUGUUAAUUCUACAUCGGAUUAUUCACUGUAAAAAAUAGAUAUCUCGAAUAUUUAAUUGCGAAUAAAAAAAUAUGAAAACAAAUAUUUACCCGAAAGUUGGUCGUAAUGAAUUUUUCAAGGGAUAUAUAAUUCAAAUGCCUUUUGGAUCGUGUGUGUUGCCUAUCCCAAAUUGUGCAUGAAAUAAAUGAGAGAGGGAGGAUUAAUGCGGUGAAACUUUUAUAAAAUUUGACAGAGCCAAAAAAAAUGACGUAGUAUUUAUAUAUUGCCCACCGAGCGAACAAACAAAAGAGAAAACCCACUUAAAUGUGCAUUACGAAAAAAUCUACGAGCCUGGCGAGGGUGAGUAAAAGAUACCGAAUGAGAAAACAAAAGCGCGACGAAUAUAAACAUUAAUUUUUGCAUCGAAAGAUAAUCGUGGGAAUACGAAACAAUGCCAACAAUUUAUUAAUUAUCAAAUUAAUGAAAAAUACCUUGUAGAAGAGAUCCAAAGUAGCAUAGGCUGACCUUAUACUUGUACACUAAAGAGGAACAAACGAAAAAAAAAAACCAAAAUAGAUAAGACGUGGAGCGAAGAAAAAACAUUUGUCUCGCGUUCGAUUCGUGCACAUACGACACGACGCGCGCGUCCCCACAACACACUACACACGGUCGCGCGCGCAUACACUCAUACAGCCACACUCGAAUUCACUCGGCACACACCACAUACAAACAAAGCAAGUAAGACAUUUUACUUUUCUGACUGGAUGAAUUUGAUGCGCGAGUCAAGCUCGAUUGGUCGAUCCUGAUAACUUACUUCAUUACUACGUUAAAACAAAAAAGAAAACUUAAAAAAGUGAAAACCAAAAGAAAUUGGAAAAAAGUGAAAUAACAACUCGAGUAUCGUUAUGGAGCGAGGAGCGAGAUAUUUGCGGGCUUCGUACAUUUCUAAUUUGUCAAGUGUAUAAGAGAGAUCUAAAAUCCAGCAACUGUAUGCGAGAGAGAGAGAGAGAGAGAUGAUCGUUUCUUAAUUGUUUACCUCGUCGUGCGAGUGUGACAUUAGAGAAUAAUGGCGCGCGUGUGCGCGUAUUAAAAAGAAAAAUAUUAAAUCGAGCGAGUGCAGUUUUUAAUCUCCCGGAACAACAUUGGUGGAAAAUGAAAAAACGAUGAGCAAAACAAAGAAUUUACGAUCAAGUUACGAAUCUAAUAAGCAGUACGAUUAGACGAUGUGCCAGAGAGAAUCAGCGAGAAGCGGAGGUUACUCGAGAAUAACGGAAUCUCAAUAAACGACCAUCCUCGGUGAUAUUCCUGCCGAAAAAGACAGGUCGAUUUUAUGUUUACAAAAAAAAAAGUUAAAGAAAACCAACGGUAUAAAAAAAAAAAAACAAUAAUAGGGAACAAAAGACGCGUUUUUCCUUCUUCGAGACUGUACAUAUUGUAUGCCCGCGAUAAAAGCCCACGCGCGAAAUCGACUUAUCGUACUAUAUUAAUAGUGUAUUGAAAUAAUAGAGUUGAUAAUGAAAAUGAGAAAAUGUAACGAAAAAAAAACAAAAAUGAUGCAAAGAAAAUUAUUAAAUUCACCCUCGGCUUCCCGAUGGCUCCUCGUGGCACGAUUUAAUAUAAAGGAAGAAAAAAAACGUUAGUGACUGUAUCCAGUAUAAUAUACCACAUAAAAGAUACCCCCAAUGCCAGACAUGGCGUGUGACAAUAAAGUGAUUCCAUGAUA